Rattus norvegicus (Norway rat) is the source of this 69-nucleotide non-coding RNA. The record is from Rfam. Lineage: Eukaryota; Metazoa; Chordata; Mammalia; Rodentia; Muridae.
GGGGAUUUAGCUCAGUGGUAGAGCGCUUGCCUAGCAAGCACAAGGUCCUGGGUUUGGUCCCCAGCUCCG